AUGGCUUCAGAUUCCGGUACCCGCCGCGACGGCGUCGUUUCGCCUGCGAACAAGAACCCCCUCACCUUUCACCUCCAGAAGCUCGGCCUCGAGCUCACUUGCCCUCUCUGCAUGGGGUUUUUCAACCGGCCGACAUUGCUGCCGUGCAAUCACAUCUUCUGCAACGGCUGUGUGCCUAAUCGGAACAAUUUCGGAGCAGAGUGUCCUCUGUGUAAUAUUCAAGUUCUUGGCGAAGAUCUGAGGCAUGCGCCUUUUAUGGAAAGCAUAGUAGCAAUCUACAAAGGCAUGAAGGCCACGUACUGUACCAGCUCCUCCCCGCCUAUAUCUUCAGAUGUUAGAACAGAUUUGGCUCGCCCAGUUUCACAGGAUGUCAGUUUUACUGGGAAAACAACGACUAAAGAACCGUUUGACAAUUUCCAAGAGGGUACCAUUUUUUCAUCAAGGGGUAAUAACCGAGUUUGGGUUCCAUGUAGUCGGAAAGAUUCUGUGACAGUUGGAAUUGGCAAGAAUGAGAAAGUAGAUACCUGUAGCAUGCCGAUAGAUGGUAACAGUGAAGAAUUUGACUUGGGUACAGGACAUCAAUUUAAUGGUGAGGUAGAUCACAAGUCACCAUUACCAAGUUCUCAAAUAAGAUCUGUAACAAUGGAUGAGUGUAUGACUGCAGAAAGAGACAUGAAUCCUGUAGUGCAUUCGUUGCUGGAUAGUCCUCCUUCAUUUGGUGAUCCCAGAGGUUCAGAUAAUGAUAAUAGCUUUUACCAGCGCUCUGAGCAAAUUUCAGACAGUUCUUUGAUCAGGGGGUCAAUUAGGAAAAUUGAUGAUAGAACAGGGCAGAUGAGGCUGGAUAGUUCGGCAUCUGAUACUGAUGGUCAUUUGAGGGAACUCAAAAGACAAAAGAAACUGGACUAUGGACCAGUCUCAGGGUCUAAUUCUGAGCUGAAACUUGGAACAACUUCUAACGAGUCUUCCACAAUUAACACCAUUUGUGCCUUUUGCCAUUCUUCCACAAUCUCAGAGGUCACUGGGCCAAUGUUGCACUAUUCCAAGGGGAAAUUGGUGGAGGGAGAUGCGGCAACUGUUUCAGAUGUCAUACAUGUUCACAGGAUAUGCAUUAAUUGGGCACCUCAAGUGUACUAUAAAGAUGAUACCAUAAAAAAUUUGAAGGCUGAAGUGACAAGGGGUGCAAAACUAAAAUGCACUAAAUGUGGGAUAAAGGGAGCAGCAUUGGGAUGCUAUGUAAAAUCCUGCCGAAGAAGCUACCAUGUUACCUGUGCAAUUGAAAUUUCUAAGUGUCGUUGGGAUUAUGAAAACUUUCUGCUGCUGUGUCCAGCACAUACGACAGAUAGAUUUCCCAAUGAGAAGUUGAAUCGUAACAAGAACAAGUAUGACAUCAUUAUCUCAGCAGUGUUUACUGUUUAGUUGAGCAGAUAUUUUUCUGUCUUGGUGCCACAAAAUGUUAAUUUUGUGAUUUUGACUGCUUCAAAUGGAGUGAACAACUGGGUUUUAUGCCCUUCUGGUUUGUCUUCUGAAGAGAAGAUUCUUCUGAUCAACUUUGCUGAGAUGAACUGUGCAACUUUGUCAAAGAGCUGGACACCUGAUGUUACCCAUGUGAUUGCUGCCCUUGAUGGGGAUGGUGCAUAUGUCCGGACGUUUAAAAUUUUCAUGGCGAUUUUGGCAGGAAAAUGGAUUGUGACAAUCGACUGGGUAAAAGCAUGCAUGGAAACCAAGCAUCAUGUGGAUGAAGAACCUUAUGAAGUUAAUCUUGAUAACUAUGGGUGUCGCAGUGGCGCGAAAGCUGGCAGGCUUAGGGCACUAAGCAAUGAUCUGAAGCUCUUCAAUGGUUUGAAUUUCUAUUUUGCUGGUGAUUUUAUACUGGAGAGGAUGGAAGACUACAAAGAAUUGGUCCUAGCUGCAGGAGGUACUGUUUUCAACAGUAAGGAAGAACUGCUGGAAGCAAGUUGUCAUGAAACGGGUGCUGCUAGGACACUGGUUGUGUACAACCUUGAUCCCCCACCAGGAUGCAAGUUGGGGGAAGAAGUUUCAAUACUUUGGCAAAGGUCUAAUGAGGCACAAGAUAUAGCUGCAAAAAUCGGAGGCGAGUACGUCUUUCACACAUGGUUGUUGGAGUCAAUUGCGAGAUAUGAGUUGCAGCCAAUUGUCUGUUGA
This is an RNA transcript of Fragaria vesca subsp. vesca, 2163 nucleotides long. It is a transcript of the gene named protein BREAST CANCER SUSCEPTIBILITY 1 homolog, with no coding region annotated. Lineage: Eukaryota; Viridiplantae; Streptophyta; Magnoliopsida; Rosales; Rosaceae. The record is from RefSeq and is a predicted model, not a curated record. The transcript has 13 exons.